RNAcentral lists this long non-coding RNA (402 nucleotides) under Brassica rapa (field mustard). RNAcentral's name for it is "long non-coding RNA (BRAP_LNC007150)". The record is from RNAcentral. Lineage: Eukaryota; Viridiplantae; Streptophyta; Magnoliopsida; Brassicales; Brassicaceae.
GCGGCGGAUAACACGGGUACGGGCACGGCGUUUCAGAUAUGGCUAAGUAAGGGAAGUAAAGAAGAGAAAAUAUGAAGACUAAUCUCAAGAGGGUAAGGCCACGAUCGUUUGUGUUCAUGUUUUUCUUUACCUUUCUUGAUGAACGAAUGGUUCUAUUAAAUUUAAAUGGUAAACACAUUUUCGUGCAAAAGAAACCGCGAGAAAGUGAAGAUAAGUUUUGGGAAAAAGCUCAGUGGAGGUCUGGAGUCUAGUUAGAUGACACUUGUUAUGUGACUUACUCUGACAAUUGUCGCUAGCCAUACGUCCUCAAUCAUGUUAAUGCACAGGUCUGGAGUCUAGUUAGAUGACACUUGUUAUGUGACUUACUCUACAAUUGUCGCUAGCCAUACGUCCUCAAUCAUG